AAAACGGAGAGUUUGAUCCUGGCUCAGGAUGAACGCUGGCGGUAUGCUUAACACAUGCAAGUCGAACGGUGUCUUCGGACACAGUGGCGGACGGGUGAGUAACGCGUGAGAAUCUGGCUCUAGGUCUGGGACAACCACUGGAAACGGUGGCUAAUACCGGAUGUGCCGAGAGGUGAAAGGUUAACUGCCUAGAGAUGAGCUCGCGUCUGAUUAGCUAGUUGGAAGUGUAAUGGACUCCCAAGGCGACGAUCAGUAGCUGGUCUGAGAGGACGAUCAGCCACACUGGGACUGAGACACGGCCCAGACUCCUACGGGAGGCAGCAGUGGGGAAUUUUCCGCAAUGGGCGAAAGCCUGACGGAGCAAUACCGCGUGAGGGAGGAAGGCUCUUGGGUCGUAAACCUCUUUUCUCAGGGAAGAACACAAUGACGGUACCUGAGGAAUAAGCAUCGGCUAACUCCGUGCCAGCAGCCGCGGUAAUACGGAGGAUGCAAGCGUUAUCCGGAAUGAUUGGGCGUAAAGCGUCCGCAGGUGGCAAUGUAAGUCUGCUGUUAAAGAGUCUAGCUCAACUAGAUAAAAGCAGUGGAAACUACAUAGCUAGAGUACGUUCGGGGCAGAGGGAAUUCCUGGUGUAGCGGUGAAAUGCGUAGAGAUCAGGAAGAACACUUAGGUGGCGAAGGCGCUCUGCUAGGCGUAACUGACACUGAGGGACGAAAGCUAGGGGAGCGAAUGGGAUUAGAUACCCCAGUAGUCCUAGCCGUAAACGAUGGAUACUAGGCGUGGCUUGUAUCGACCCGAGCCGUGCCGUAGCUAACGCGUUAAGUAUCCCGCCUGGGGAGUACGCUUAAGCAACGGUGAAACUCAAAGGAAUUGACGGGGGGGCCCGCACAAGCGGUGGAGUAUGUGGUUUAAUUCGAUGCAACGCGAAGAACCUUACCAAGGCUUGACAUGUCGCGAAUCUUCUUGAAAGGGAAGAGUGCCUUCGGGAGCGCGAACACAGGUGGUGCAUGGCUGUCGUCAGCUCGUGUCGUGAGAUGUUGGGUUAAGUCCCGCAACGAGCGCAACCCUCGUUUUUAGUUGCCAGCAUUAAGUUGGGCACUCUAGAGAGACUGCCGGUGACAAACCGGAGGAAGGUGGGGAUGACGUCAAGUCAGCAUGCCCCUUACGCCUUGGGCUACACACGUACUACAAUGCUCCGGACAGAGGGCAGCAAGCAUGCGAAUGCAAGCAAAUCCCGUAAACCGGAGCUCAGUUCAGAUCGCAGGCUGCAACUCGCCUGCGUGAAGGAGGAAUCGCUAGUAAUUGCAGGUCAGCAUACUGCAGUGAAUUCGUUCCCGGGCCUUGUACACACCGCCCGUCACACCAUGGAAGCUGGUAGUGCCCGAAGUCAUUACUCCAACCAUUCGUGGAGGAGGAUGCCUAAGGCAGGACUGGUGACUGGGGUGAAGUCGUAACAAGGUAGCCGUACCGGAAGGUGUGGCUGGAUCACCUCCUUUUU
RNAcentral lists this ribosomal RNA (1496 nucleotides) under Nostoc sp. ATCC 53789. RNAcentral describes it as "bacterial SSU rRNA". It matches the Rfam family "Bacterial small subunit ribosomal RNA". The record is from RNAcentral. Lineage: Bacteria; Bacillati; Cyanobacteriota; Cyanophyceae; Nostocales; Nostocaceae.